UGUUUGUUUGUUUCCUAUUUGGUUUGGUUUAUUUUCACUUUCGCCCCCCUGCCCCCCCCCCCCUCCGCCGGUCAAGUGAUUCUGUUUCCAAUUCUAAAUAUGGGCAUUAAAGCUUAUGUUGUACCAAAAGAAAAUCUGCUUUACUACAGACCACAAAGAACAAAGUUGACCACAGAGUUUGACAAAACUACUAGAAUGAAAAUCCUGUAAAAUCUGGGUGAAUGAUCCUUCAAGACACACGAUGUACACAGUGUGAAGAGUCUUGACUUUCUUUUUUUUUCCUACUGGCAGUCCUCACCCUCACUGUGAGUUUUCACUGUGUAAGACUUCUGAAUGGGAUCUGUGCAGACUUCCAGUUGGAAAGACCAGCAGAAAUCUUCUCAUUUGGACAUGGGCAUAUGAAAAACAAUGGCCAUGUGGUCAAUGAAUGAAACUGCCAAGGUGACAAAUUUCUAAACACAGGAUAAUGUAUAACAUUGCUUUUUAAAUUAAUUAUCAAUUAGCUUUUUGUGUAGUUUUUUUUUCAAUAAGAGAAAAUGUUGGAAAAAUAAAUAUAUUAUUUUGUGGUUGGUAUACCACAGCCCACUUAAUGUUGAGUGCUUUAUCUCUUUGUUGUGAAAUCCUUCUAGCCUGUGUCGGUUGGUAUCUACCAAAUGGCUUCUGUGUGUUCUACGAUUAGGUGGGGAGACCCUACAAGGUGUAGAAAAGUUUGAGGUGUGGCAUAUGCAUUAACUCCUUACACAGAUUUCUUUUUCGAAACAUAUGAUGUAACUCAAAAAUUAUAUAACAAUAUGAGGAAAAAAGAGUAGUAUCUAUAAAAGGGUUAGAGGUUAUGCAAUCUUUUAGAAGAAGAAAACUAUAGAAAUUAUCACAAUCUGAAAGAAGCAUAAUGAUCACCCAUUUUUUAAACAAAGGCGAUAAUUAUACACAUAUCGGUUGAAGGAUUUUCACUGGACUUCCUUAGAGCUUUGAUGCCAUAUGUCAGCAAUUCUCUCUGAUUGACAAUGGGCAUUAUCUUGAUCUAGCUAGUGGUCUAAUUUGCCUAGUCCUAUUUUUAAAACAAAAUGUAAUUAUAAAAUUUUUGUCAUCUUUUAUUAGGUCAGGUUUUGCAUUCUGAAAAGUGCUAAUAUACAGUGAUAUUAGUGGGAUUUCUUAAGAACUAAAUUGAUAGCUGGCAUUCAUUUAAUUGCAAAUUCUACUAAAGUAAUAAUUAAAGAGCCUUGUGAAUACUUCCAUAUCAAAGUAAACUAGCAUAGAGUAUUGAGCAUGGUUUUUUUUUUUUCUUCUCAAAGUAAUUCCAGUUUACCACUGUUUUAAAUAGUGCUUGAAGUUAAAUUCUAUUUUAAUUGCUAAAAAUAUUUGUCAUAUUAAAGAAAAUUCAACCAAAGGAAGUUUUUUGCACUUUGGAGCACAGGGCUCUUGCUGUCAGAUGCUGGUAACUUCCCUGUUAACAUUUACAGUCUGGAUUAUAUCUAGAUAUGUUUCCUAACCCUUCAAGUAGAAUGAAUUGACUAUGAGUUUAGAAGUUAAAUUCUUUGGCAUUGUGAUUUUUCUUUUCAGAAUUAUUCAACAGAUUGUAGCAGAACAUUUUGGAGUGUUUGCCUGAAUUAUAAGGAUUCUCUAACUCUUCCCACCUUGUCUGUUUAUCUAACAUCACUCAUGUAGCCCAUCUACCACCCCACCCCAUCUUAGGUGAUUUAUUGGAGGUCAUACCUGAAAAAUUUUCAUCAAAGUUGGCUUAAGUUUUCUGUUUGUUUCUGUUUCUAAUAGGCAAAAAAAAAAAAAAAAAAAAAAAA
RNAcentral lists this long non-coding RNA (1796 nucleotides) under Canis lupus familiaris (dog). RNAcentral's name for it is "lncRNA (ENSCAFG00000050196.1)". The record is from RNAcentral. Lineage: Eukaryota; Metazoa; Chordata; Mammalia; Carnivora; Canidae.